UUGGAGGGCAAGUCUGGUGCCAGCAGCCGCGGUAAUUCCAGCUCCAAUAGCGUAUAUUAAAGUUGUUGCAGUUAAAAAGCUCGUAGUUGAAUUUCGGGGUUAGUAGGUUGGUCAUGCCUCUGGUAUGUACUGGUCUCACUGAUUCCUCCUUCCUGAUGAACCUUAAUGCCAUUAAUUUGGUGUUUUGGGAAAUUUGGACUGUUACUUUGAAAAAAUUAGAGUGUUUAAAGCAAGCUAACGCUUGAAUACAUUAGCAUGGAAUAAUGAAAUAGGACGUUCGAUCCUAUUUUGUUGGUUUCUAGGAUUGACGUAAUGAUUAAUAGGGAUAGUUGGGGGCAUUAGUAUUCAAUUGUCAGAGGUGAAAUUCUUGGAUUUAUUGAAGACUAACUACCGCGAAAGCAUUUGCCAAGGAUGUUUUCAUUAAUCAAGAACGAAAGUUAGGGGAUCGAAGACGAUCAGAUACCGUCGUAGUCUUAACCAUAAACUAUGCCGACUAGGGAUCGGAUGAUGUUAAUUUUUUAAUGACUCAUUCGGCGCCUUACGGGAAAC
Molecule: ribosomal RNA, 549 nt
Filed under: uncultured Glomeromycotina
Lineage: Eukaryota; Fungi; Glomeromycota
Description: SSU rRNA
Rfam family: Eukaryotic small subunit ribosomal RNA
Source: RNAcentral